Molecule: ribosomal RNA, 441 nt
Filed under: uncultured bacterium
Lineage: Bacteria
Description: partial 16S ribosomal RNA
Rfam family: Bacterial small subunit ribosomal RNA
Source: RNAcentral
CCUACGGGAGGCAGCAGUAGGGACUUUUGCACAAUGGGGGAAACCCUGACGCAGCAACGCCGCGUGAUCGAUGAAGCCCUUCGGGGUGUAAAGAUCUGUCAGUGGGGACGAAACCUGACGGUACCCACAGAGGAAGCACCGGCUAACUCCGUGCCAGCAGCCGCGGUAAUACGUAGGGGGCAAGCGUUAUCCGGAUUUACUGGGUGUAAAGGGAGCGUAGACGGCAGCGCAAGUCUGAAGUGAAAUGCCGGGGCUUAACCCCGGAACUGCUUUGGAAACUGUGCAGCUAGAGUGCAGGAGAGGUAAGUGGAAGUCCUAGUGUAGCGGUGAAAUGCGUAGAUAUUAGGAGGAACACCAGUGGCGAAGGCGGCUUACUGGACUGUAACGGACGUUGAGGCUCGAAAGCGUGGGGAGCAAACAGGAUUAGAUACCCUUGUAGUC